RNAcentral lists this ribosomal RNA (235 nucleotides) under uncultured bacterium. RNAcentral describes it as "partial 16S ribosomal RNA". It matches the Rfam family "Bacterial small subunit ribosomal RNA", at positions 524 to 758 of the family's 1533-position model. The record is from RNAcentral.
UACGUAGGGUGCGAGCGUUAAUCGGAAUUACUGGGCGUAAAGUGUGCGCAGGCGGCCGAGCAAGUCGAGUGUGAAAGCCCCGAGCUUAACUUGGGAACUGCGCUUGUUACUGGCAAGCUGGAGUGUGGCAGAGGGGGGUGGAAUUCCACGUGUAGCAGUGAAAUGCGUAGAGAUGUGGAGGAACACCGAUGUCGAAGGCAGCCCCCUGGGCUAACACUGACACUCAUACACGAAA